Molecule: transfer RNA, 74 nt
Filed under: Eubacteriales bacterium
Lineage: Bacteria; Bacillati; Bacillota; Clostridia; Eubacteriales
Description: tRNA-Gln
Rfam family: tRNA
About the family: Transfer RNA (tRNA) molecules are approximately 80 nucleotides in length. Their secondary structure includes four short double-helical elements and three loops (D, anti-codon, and T loops). Further hydrogen bonds mediate the characteristic L-shaped molecular structure. tRNAs have two regions of fundamental functional importance: the anti-codon, which is responsible for specific mRNA codon recognition, and the 3' end, to which the tRNAs corresponding amino acid is attached (by aminoacyl-tRNA synthetases). tRNAs cope with the degeneracy of the genetic code in two manners: having more than one tRNA (with a specific anti-codon) for a particular amino acid; and 'wobble' base-pairing, i.e. permitting non-standard base-pairing at the 3rd anti-codon position.
Source: RNAcentral
AGCCGAAUAGUGUAACGGUAGCACACCUGACUCUGACUCAGUUAGCCUAGGUUCGAAUCCUAGUUCGGCUGCCA